Non-coding RNA from Punica granatum (pomegranate), 862 nucleotides. The record is from RefSeq and is a predicted model, not a curated record. Lineage: Eukaryota; Viridiplantae; Streptophyta; Magnoliopsida; Myrtales; Lythraceae.
CAGCCUCCUUCAUCAUUUGCUUCUCCUCAUCAUCACCAACUCUCGGCCUCUUCUCCUACAACAGCUCAUUCCUCAGCUCCAUCUAUGCUUUCCACCUUAGCUCUUCUUCAUUUGUCCGCAGACAGCCCAACAGGCAUUAGAAACAUUCAUGGCGGCAAUAGAAAUUAGCGUGCACAGAGAGGGGAGAGAGUAGAUACGAGGAGAAAGAUGAUAUCCAAGACGGUCUCAGCGCAAUCAGAGAUCAAAGCAUCGACUAUCUUCACAUCAUGGCACGAGUUGAGGCAGAGCUGCUUCCGAUAGAGAGUUAGAAGCAGCAACUCGUGGAGCCGUGGACAACUUCAAGGAGCAGAAAUGUUUUCUACCAAUUAUACAAUUGUACCUCAUACAUGCAACCGUGAAAAAUAAUUAGAAACUACUAAAACUUCUUACCCUGUCUUCCUUGAUAGAUUUAGCCUUCAGUCAAAUUUGAUCCUCUAUGUUUUAAAAAUGAUCAAUUAGUUAUAUACGUUUGCUUCGUAAAGCAAAUUUGGUCCAUUUCGUGACUUAUAAGACCAAAAUUGUCUUUCUUUUUCAUAAUAUAUAAGAUCACAUUUUAAUUGAAAGUCAUCUUAGGAGUAAAAAUGUCAUUUUCAAAACUUAUAAGAUCAAAAUUAUCUUACAGAAUAAACGUAUGGAUUGAUUCGGUAGUUUUAAAUCUUAUAAGACCAAAAUUGUCUGAAUGUCAAACUUAUAAGACCAAAAAUAUCUUUUUCCCAAUUCAAAUAUCUAAAGGGGGAAGUCUGCGAACAUUACUUAUAAAUGGAAUUCCAACGAAAAAGAAGAAGCUUAUAGAUGGAAUUUUUCUCUUUUCUAUUUUGUAGAU